Molecule: long non-coding RNA, 257 nt
Filed under: Vigna radiata
Lineage: Eukaryota; Viridiplantae; Streptophyta; Magnoliopsida; Fabales; Fabaceae
Description: long non-coding RNA (VRAD_LNC009942)
Source: RNAcentral
GGAUUCUUGUUGCAAUUCUGGUUUUGUGUGUGCAGCUAUAUUUGGUUUUGGGUUAGAGAGGAGAUUUAUAUUUUUGCGUGGUGCUUCUAUAAAUUCCUUGUUGUCAAAACCGCAACCAUUAUAGUGCAUUUGCUUCCAUGAUUGGAAGGAGACUAGAUGUAGGCAUUGUUGGCCGAACCAGUAUAAAAACCAGUGUUUGAUUUUCUCUAUCCCUGCACUCUUUAUUUCAGUCGACUUUAUAUUUCUAGCAGUCAACU